GAUGAACGCUGGCGGCGUGCCUAAUACAUGCAAGUCGAGCGAACGGACGAGAAGCUUGCUUUUCUGAUGUUAGCGGCGGACGGGUGAGUAACACGUGGAUAACCUACCUAUAAGACUGGGAUAACUUCGGGAAACCGGAGCUAAUACCGGAUAAUAUUUUGAACCGCAUGGUUCAAAAGUGAAAGACGGUCUUGCUGUCACUUAUAGAUGGAUCCGCGCUGCAUUAGCUAGUUGGUAAGGUAACGGCUUACCAAGGCAACGAUGCAUAGCCGACCUGAGAGGGUGAUCGGCCACACUGGAACUGAGACACGGUCCAGACUCCUACGGGAGGCAGCAGUAGGGAAUCUUCCGCAAUGGGCGAAAGCCUGACGGAGCAACGCCGCGUGAGUGAUGAAGGUCUUCGGAUCGUAAAACUCUGUUAGUAGGGAAGAAGAUAUGUGUAAGUAACUGUGCACAUCUUGACGGUACCUAAACAGAAAGCCACGGCUAACUACGUG
RNAcentral lists this ribosomal RNA (497 nucleotides) under uncultured bacterium. RNAcentral's name for it is "partial 16S ribosomal RNA". It matches the Rfam family "Bacterial small subunit ribosomal RNA", at positions 28 to 507 of the family's 1533-position model. The record is from RNAcentral.